GUGAGGUGAUGGCUCACCAAGGCGACGACGGGUAGCCGGCCUGAGAGGGCGACCGGCCACACUGGGACUGAGACACGGCCCAGACUCCUACGGGAGGCAGCAGUGGGGAAUAUUGCACAAUGGGCGAAAGCCUGACGCAGCGACGCCGCGUGGGGGAUGAAGGCCCUCGGGUCGUAAACCCCUUUCGCCAGGGACGAAGGGAAACUGACGGUACCUGGAGAAGAAGUCCCGGCUAACUACGUGCCAGCAGCCGCGGUAACACGUAGGGGACGAGCGUUGUCCGGAAUUAUUGGGCGUAAAGAGCUUGUAGGCGGUUUGUCGCGUCUGCCGUGAAAAUCCGGGGCUCAACCCCGGACUUGCGGUGGGUACGGGCAGACUAGAGUGUGGUAGGGGAGACUGGAAUUCCUGGUGUAGCGGUGAAAUGCGCAGAUAUCAGGAGGAACACCGAUGGCGAAGGCAGGUCUCUGGGCCACUACUGACGCUGAGAAGCGAAAGCAUGGGGAGCGAACAGGAUUAGAUACCCUGGUAGUCCAUGCCGUAAACGUUGGGAACUAGGUGUGGGUCUCAUUCCACGAGGUCCGUGCCGCAGCUAACGCAUUAAGUU
Molecule: ribosomal RNA, 604 nt
Filed under: uncultured Actinomycetes bacterium
Lineage: Bacteria; Bacillati; Actinomycetota; Actinomycetes
Description: bacterial SSU rRNA
Rfam family: Bacterial small subunit ribosomal RNA
Source: RNAcentral